AUGUGCCUUCGCCACUCCCUCUCUCCAGCAGAGUUGGAAGAUUGGCAACGCCUUGUUGCUCUCUUCCCUUCACUCUCGGAGGAGGAAGACACGGUUGUCUGGCCCCACUCCCCCUCUGCGCGUUUCUCGGUUAAAUCCCUUUACAGUAAGCUCAUUGAUGGGUCCCCCACCUCCAAAUUCAAAUGGAUCUGGAGGGCUCAUAUCCCUCUUAAGAUCAAGGUUUUCCUCUGGCAAGCCUCCCGUGGGCGUCUACCGACGGGUGACCAAAUCCGCAAAUGUAAUGGCCCAGGUUCUGAUAGGUGUGCUCUAUGUGGUUUGAGAGAAGAUGCUUCUCACAUGUUCUUCAACUGUGUUUUGGCUAAUCUGUUUUGGUGUUGUAUUCGAUCCUGGUUGCAUGUCUCUUGGGCUCCGACAUCCUUUUCUGAUCUGCGCAUCUUGGUUAGCUCGUUGGUUGGGGCCCAGAGGCGAUUGUUUUGGGUGGGCUUCGCAGCCAUAUGCUGGUCUCUGUGGACGACGAGGAAUAAGUUUACCAUCAAGCAUGUUUUCCCUGCUAAGCCUUUUGAUUGCUUAUUUAAAACAUGUAUAUUCCUGCAGCAAUGGAGAUCAUUGGCUAAGGAGGAAGACAUGGACGCCCUCGACGCCAUGUUGGCCAAGAUCCGGAACUCUGCUAUCUCCAUCUCCCCAGUUCAAGCAGACACCUAG
This 702-nucleotide ribosomal RNA is filed under the name Triticum aestivum (bread wheat). Its description in RNAcentral is "partial small subunit ribosomal RNA". Lineage: Eukaryota; Viridiplantae; Streptophyta; Magnoliopsida; Poales; Poaceae. The record is from RNAcentral.